UCGCGUUAUUAUACUAUAUAUAAUACAUGUAGUUAUACAUACGUACGUACUACGAUGUGGAAUUCAUCGCACGCAGCAGAUGUACUAUCCGCAUUUCGGCUUGUCAUUUGGAGAAGUUAAAAACGAGCAAAGUGACUCUCGCCAAUUAGCCAGCGUCUGAAAGCAAAGAUGAAGAAGAGGCUCGACCGGAGGACAGGCAGCGAACUCGAUCGGAUCCGAGGACGGCAAAUCUGGCGGAUCUCCAACGCGGGCAUGCAGCGCGCUUUGUGUACCUCCGUCCCUCUCUUCUCCUCUCUCUCUCCGUCUCUCGCUCUCUUGGCGGUGGCUUCAUUGUCCGCUCGGGAGGAAAAGCCGAUAUUGAGAACGUUCGCAAAGCCCCCAACGGGUAUGCCUACGUACCUAUUUUAUUUUCGCCUCUACACAUAUACGUAUCCGUACACAGACAAGAGGUGCACGUAGCUGAUGCGAUGCCACGGCGGCAGCUCCAACGGCAGUCCCGCAGCAGCGGCAACAGCAGCCUCGUGCCCUCGGGGCAAAUCCCGAACCCCGAUCCUCCCGACGUAAACUUGCAAGCCCUAACCUUCCGGAGGUUGCAGGUAUGUAGGUAUUCACGAAGAGAUGGAUGCAGGUAUAGAAGCAACGCAUGCCGCGUGUACACGCCUCACCCACGUUCAUCCGUCUCAAGGAGAGACUCGCGGAAAGUAUCGCAGACCGCAAAUUGCACCCGAUUGUACCCUCUGUACACACACGGCAUCCAGAGUUUCAGAUGAAUGAUGGACAAAUUCUUCUGCGGUGGAGUAAAUCAAGAAAAAAAAAGAACUGAGAUUUUAAUCAACGGUCACUGUCGACACGAUAAUACACUCAGCACUAAGUGAGCACUGAAUUGCGCUAAUCGACAUCAGCGAAUCAGCUAUCGUGCGUUUCGAGGAAUUUAUAGGAACGUCAUCUUGGAUGUCCUUACCAUCAUAACAUGUAAAUUAGGAUAGAAUUUGAGGAUGAUGGAAUAUAAAGUGUAUUUUCUCACGAUCAAACCAGUGAUUAAUAAACUAAAAUAAAUUUCAAA
Long non-coding RNA from Neodiprion fabricii, 1063 nucleotides. RefSeq lists it as uncharacterized. NCBI's taxonomy places the organism in Eukaryota, Metazoa, Arthropoda, Insecta, Hymenoptera, Diprionidae. The record is from RefSeq and is a predicted model, not a curated record. The transcript is spliced from 2 exons.